This 700-nucleotide ribosomal RNA is filed under the name uncultured bacterium. Its description in RNAcentral is "bacterial SSU rRNA". It matches the Rfam family "Bacterial small subunit ribosomal RNA", at positions 94 to 792 of the family's 1533-position model. The record is from RNAcentral.
ACCGGCAAACGGGUGCGGAACACGUACGCAACCUUCCCAAAACUAGUGAAUAGCCCUCCGAAAGGAGGAUUAAUACACCGUAACAUAACGAAGAGGCAUCUCUUUGUUAUUAUAGCUCCGGCGGUUUUGGAUGGGCGUGCGGCUGAUUAGGUAGUUGGCGGGGUAACGGCCCACCAAGCCUGCGAUCAGUAACUGGUGUGAGAGCACGACCAGUCACACGGGCACUGAGACACGGGCCCGACUCCUACGGGAGGCAGCAGUAAGGAAUAUUGGUCAAUGGACGAAAGUCUGAACCAGCCAUGCCGCGUGAAGGAUGAAGGUCCUCUGGAUUGUAAACUUCUUUUAUCUGGGACGAAAAAAGGGAAUUCUUUCUCACUUGACGGUACCAGAGGAAUAAGCACCGGCUAACUCCGUGCCAGCAGCCGCGGUAAUACGGAGGGUGCAAGCGUUAUCCGGAUUUACUGGGUGUAAAGGGUGCGUAGGUGGGCAGGUAAGUCAGUGGUGAAAUCUCCGGGCUUAACUCGGAAACUGCCAUUGAUACUAUCUGUCUUGAAUAUCCUGGAGGUGAGCGGAAUAUGUCAUGUAGCGGUGAAAUGCUUAGAUAUGACAUAGAACACCAAUUGCGAAGGCAGCUCACUACGGGAUUAUUGACACUGAGGCACGAAAGCGUGGGGAUCAAACAGGAUUAGAUACCCUGGUA